This 204-nucleotide ribosomal RNA is filed under the name uncultured Eubacteriales bacterium. Its description in RNAcentral is "uncultured Clostridiales bacterium partial 16S ribosomal RNA". It matches the Rfam family "Bacterial small subunit ribosomal RNA", at positions 293 to 514 of the family's 1533-position model. Lineage: Bacteria; Bacillati; Bacillota; Clostridia; Eubacteriales. The record is from RNAcentral.
UGAGAGGUUGAACGGCCACAUUGGGACUGAGACACGGCCCAGACUCCUACGGGAGGCAGCAGUGGGGAAUAUUGCACUAUCGGGGAAACCCUGAUGCAGCGACGCCGCGUGAGCGAUGAAGUAUUUCGGUAUGUAAAGCUCUAUCAGCAGGGAAGAAAAUGACGGUACCUGACUAAGAAGCACCGGCUAAAUACGUGCCAGCAG